RNAcentral lists this ribosomal RNA (203 nucleotides) under uncultured bacterium. RNAcentral's name for it is "partial 16S ribosomal RNA". It matches the Rfam family "Bacterial small subunit ribosomal RNA", at positions 335 to 534 of the family's 1533-position model. The record is from RNAcentral.
ACUCCUACGGGAGGCAGCAGUGGGAAUAUUGGACAAUGGGGGCACCCUGAUCCAGCGAUGCCGCGUGUGUGAAGAAGGCCUGAGGGUUGUAAGCACUUUUAGUGGGGAGGAAGUUAACAGGUUAAGAGCUAGUUAAGUUGACGUUACCCACCAUAACAGCACCGGCUAACUCCGUGCCAGCAGCCGCGGUAAUACGGGGGUGG